This is a long non-coding RNA of Stegodyphus dumicola, 759 nucleotides long. The record is from RefSeq and is a predicted model, not a curated record. NCBI's taxonomy places the organism in Eukaryota, Metazoa, Arthropoda, Arachnida, Araneae, Eresidae.
AAGACGAAGAAAAUGGAUAGUUAAUUCUCGUCGAGAUCAAUGGAUCCCGGGCCCAGGAGCGUAUCUUUGUGAGGUACAUUUUGAAGAAAAUCAAUUUGAAUGCUCUAGGCAAGAUGGGCGUAAAAAACUCAAGCCCAAUGCUGUGCCAACUCUUUUCAAUGUGCCUAAUCCCCCCACAACUGUUGACCCCCACAGCAUCUAAAAGGCAUUGGUUUACCAAAGCACCGUUCAGUUACAUCCAAUUUUUGUAAUGGUGGCUUGCUGCACAGUUUACCUUUAUCAACUGAAGCAAUUUCUGUUGCUGAACCAUCUGUUAUUCAUUUGCCACAACCUUCAGCUUCAUAUUUUGGAGAAAUAAAUUUUGCUGCUGAAGUAUUUGAUGUAAAUUGCCAUUUUGCACUUCUAAAAAAUUUUAAUAGUUUUUUAACAUCUAUUCGUAAACUGUACUAUGUUUUUUUAAAUGUUUCCAUCUUCAUAAUCAUGCACUUUGUUUCAUUUCACCAGUGGUUGCAAAUGUGUACAUUACAGUACAUAUCAGGUGUGUUUGCAACAACAUUUAGCAUUACCAUCUGAUUAAAUAACAGCUGCUAGUAAAGAAUCUAUGCUAUGUUUUCAUUUGAGCAGCUAUUAAAUGUCAUAUGUUUUACAUAUAUUGAUGAAUUUUUAUACGAUUUCUGAAAUAUGAAAUUGUUUGUCUUAUGGUUCCUAAACAGCUGUACUAUAUCUGGCUGUUGUGCUAUGGAAUUAUUUUUGAAUUUU